RNAcentral lists this small RNA (625 nucleotides) under Pan troglodytes (chimpanzee). RNAcentral's name for it is "processed transcript". The record is from RNAcentral. Lineage: Eukaryota; Metazoa; Chordata; Mammalia; Primates; Hominidae.
GGUGACCAUGGAAUCAGACCAAAGGAAAGUGGUUGGUGAUGGUGGAAGUAUUUCCAAGGGAAAAAUAUGUUCUUUAAAAGCACGAGCUGUCUUGAUUGAUAUGGAAGAAGGGGUAGUGAAUGAAAUUCUGCAGGGACCACUGAGAGAUGUAUUUGAUACGAAACAGCUCAUCACUGAUAUUUCUGGCUCAGGAAAUAAUUGGGCCGUGGGUCACAAAGUUUUCGGCAGUCUUUACCAAGACCAGAUUUUAGAGAAAUUCAGAAAGUCGGCAGAGCACUGUGAUUGCUUGCAGUGUUUCUUUAUAAUACAUUCCAUGGGAGGAGGAACAGGAUCUGGACUUGGCACAUUUCUUUUAAAGGUGCUUGAAGACGAAUUCCCAGAAGUAUACAGAUUUGUGACUUCCAUUUAUCCUUCUGGUGAGGAUGAUGUCAUAACCUCACCUUAUAAUAGCAUCUUGGCAAUGAAGGAACUUAAUGAGCAUGCAGACUGUGUGUUGCCCAUUGACAAUCAAUCUUUAUUUGACAUCAUUAGCAAAAUCGACCUCAUGGUGAAUUCUGGAAAGUUGGGUACAACUGUGAAGCCAAAGAGUCUGGUUACUUCAAGUUCUGGGGCUUUAAAAAAGCGG